RNAcentral lists this long non-coding RNA (540 nucleotides) under Pan troglodytes (chimpanzee). Its description in RNAcentral is "long non-coding RNA NONPTRT015733". Lineage: Eukaryota; Metazoa; Chordata; Mammalia; Primates; Hominidae. The record is from RNAcentral.
CUUUUGUACAUGCCUCAGUGAGAUGCACAAAGCACAACUUGGUCAGAUUCACAGAGGCUCUUGUCUCCUCUAACUCUUCCUGACGCAGGUUCCUCUAAUCUGAUGGGACACUCCUGCAAUGAUGCUUCAGCUGUAUUUUAACCUCAAGAAACCCUAAGAUCCCUCACUCCUAUGCUGCUGUCAACGGGAGGCUAAGAAGCACAGAGAAAUAGGCCAUACAAAGUCUACCUCUCUGAACACUCUGGUUUGUUGAGAUGACAGAUGGUUAAGUCUCUCUCUGACAUCAAGAGAUAGAGCCAAAGUUAUCAUGGAAUUGUUUCUUUUGGAAUGUCAAGUUUAUGUGCACCGUAUCACUCUUCUGAAAUGGACUCAAGAUUCAGGGUCUCAUCUCACUUUUGAUUUAACUACACUCAUAUUCAUCCAUGUGUGAAAAAUGGUGAUCACACUAGAAAGCUUGUUCUUACUGUUUCCUUGCAUAUCUGAAUACCUGCAUCACAUUCAAAUCUAACUCACUGCCUUAAUUUAAUAGCUGAAAGAAAC